GAGUUUGAUCGUGGCUCAGAUUGAACGCUGGCGGCAGGCCUAACACAUGCAAGUCGGAGCGGAUGACGGGAGCUUGCUCCUUGAUUCAGCGGCGGACGGGUGAGUAAUGCCUGGGAAUCUGCCUGGUAGUGGGGGACAACGUUUCGAAAGGAACGCUAAUACCGCAUACGUCCUACGGGAGAAAGCAGGGGACCUUCGGGCCUUGCGCUAUCAGAUGAGCCUAGGUCGGAUUAGCUAGUUGGUGGGGUAAUGGCUCACCAAGGCGACGAUCCGUAACUGGUCUGAGAGGAUGAUCAGUCACACUGGAACUGAGACACGGUCCAGACUCCUACGGGAGGCAGCAGUGGGGAAUAUUGGACAAUGGGCGAAAGCCUGAGUCCAGCCCAUGCCGCGUGUGUGAAGAAGGUCUUCGGAUUGUAAAGCACUUUAAG
RNAcentral lists this ribosomal RNA (431 nucleotides) under bacterium enrichment culture clone ALO1_GLFRUDD03HDRWK. RNAcentral describes it as "bacterial SSU rRNA". It matches the Rfam family "Bacterial small subunit ribosomal RNA", at positions 9 to 439 of the family's 1533-position model. The record is from RNAcentral.